This 253-nucleotide ribosomal RNA is filed under the name uncultured prokaryote. RNAcentral describes it as "partial 16S ribosomal RNA". It matches the Rfam family "Bacterial small subunit ribosomal RNA", at positions 524 to 776 of the family's 1533-position model. The record is from RNAcentral.
UACGUAGGGUGCGAGCGUUGUCCGGAAUUAUUGGGCGUAAAGAGCGUGUAGGCGGCCAGACAGGUCCGUUGUGAAAACUGGAGGCUUAACCUCCAGACGUCGAUGGAAACCGUCUGGCUAGAGUCCGGAAGAGGAGAGUGGAAUUCCUGGUGUAGCGGUGAAAUGCGCAGAUAUCAGGAAGAACACCCGUGGCUAAGGCGGCUCUCUAGUACGGUACUGACGCUGAGACGCGAAAGCGUGGGGAGCGAACAGG